Molecule: ribosomal RNA, 251 nt
Filed under: uncultured bacterium
Lineage: Bacteria
Description: partial small subunit ribosomal RNA
Rfam family: Bacterial small subunit ribosomal RNA
Source: RNAcentral
AGGACGAACGCUGGCGGCGUGCUUAACACAUGCAAGUCGAGCGGAAAGGCCCUUCGGGGUACUCGAGCGGCGAACGGGUGAGUAACACGUGAGUAAUCUGCCCCUAGCUCUGGGAUAGCUCCGGGAAAACCGGGAUUAAUACCGGAUACGACUGCUACGGACAUCUGUGGUGGUGGAAAGAACUUCGGCUAGGGAUGAGCUCGCGGCCUAUCAGCUUGUGGUGGGUAACGCCUACAAGGCGACGACGGGUA